Molecule: ribosomal RNA, 681 nt
Filed under: uncultured Pasteurella sp.
Lineage: Bacteria; Pseudomonadati; Pseudomonadota; Gammaproteobacteria; Pasteurellales; Pasteurellaceae
Description: bacterial SSU rRNA
Rfam family: Bacterial small subunit ribosomal RNA
Source: RNAcentral
UGACGAGUGGCGGACGGGUGAGUAAUGCUUGGGAAUCUGGCUUAUGGAGGGGGAUAACUGUGGGAAACUGCAGCUAAUACCGCGUAUUCUCUGAGGAGGAAAGGGUGGGACCUUAGGGCCACCUGCCAUAAGAUGAGCCCAAGUGGGAUUAGGUAGUUGGUGGGGUAAAGGCCUACCAAGCCUGCGAUCUCUAGCUGGUCUGAGAGGAUGACCAGCCACACUGGAACUGAGACACGGUCCAGACUCCUACGGGAGGCAGCAGUGGGGAAUAUUGCGCAAUGGGGGGAACCCUGACGCAGCCAUGCCGCGUGAAUGAAGAAGGCCUUCGGGUUGUAAAGUUCUUUCGGUAAUGAGGAAGGGAUGUUGUUAAAUAGAUAGCAUCAUUGACGUUAAUUACAGAAGAAGCACCGGCUAACUCCGUGCCAGCAGCCGCGGUAAUACGGAGGGUGCGAGCGUUAAUCGGAAUAACUGGGCGUAAAGGGCACGCAGGCGGACUUUUAAGUGAGAUGUGAAAUCCCCGAGCUUAACUUGGGAACUGCAUUUCAGACUGGGAGUCUAGAGUACUUUAGGGAGGGGUAGAAUUCCACGUGUAGCGGUGAAAUGCGUAGAGAUGUGGAGGAAUACCGAAGGCGAAGGCAGCCCCUUGGGAAUGUACUUGACGCUCAUGUGCGAAAGCGUGGG